Molecule: long non-coding RNA, 1266 nt
Organism: Musa acuminata AAA Group (dessert banana)
Lineage: Eukaryota; Viridiplantae; Streptophyta; Magnoliopsida; Zingiberales; Musaceae
Exons: 2
Source: RefSeq, a predicted model, not a curated record
GUAUUUCCAUUCACAUCAUGUAUCUCCUCCUCUUAGCUAUAUAGGGUUUUGUAUAUACGUGUCUCCUUCCUCCUUCACUGUAGACAAGCGAGGUCCGCUUUGCUCUCUCUGUGAUCUCCUGUGCUCAAAAUGAAGUGUCUGUUCUUCUUCUUCUUCUUCCUCAUCACCGUCCUGUCUACGUCUUUGCACGUGUCCGUAGCGACUGGAGCUGCGUCCAUCGCGAAGACCAUCGUCGUCAACCGUAGCGGGACCGGGGAUUUCAGAAGCAUCCAGGAGGCGAUCAACUCCGUCCCCGACUUCAACAACCAGUGGAUAAAGACGUCGAUAAAGAAGGUGGUGAUAAGCGCUUACAAGAGCUACAUCCUACUCGAAGGAGAGGGAGCGCAGAAGACGUCGAUCGAGUGGGGCGAUUACGCCAGCGACUCCGGCGGCCACGACACCGCCAGCAGCGGAACGUUCACGUCGUAUGCUUCGAACAUUGUUGUUGCAGGGAUAACCUUCAAGAACACAUACGAUGGAUACAGCCAAAUGAAGCAAGCGAUGGCGGCGAUGAUAUCAGGAGACAAGUCGUCACUAUACUCAUGCAGCUUCAUCGGGUAUCAGGACACUCUCGCUGAUUUGUUGGGAAGACACUACUUCAAAGGUUGCUACAUUCAAGGCGUGACAUUUCCUACAUCGACAAGGAAGGAUGGCUCAGUGAACAGCCCCAGUACUAAGGGAAGAGGCGUUCUGAGGUCCGAGUUAGGUGCACAUCCGUCCAUAAUAAUAAAUAGCAUGUUGUUGGUGUUGUAGAGAUACUGUUUUCCUUUUGAUUAGUAAAGAUGUUGACUGUUGAUCGAUAGCAUAGUAAGUUCUGACUACAAUUUGUCGAUAACAAAGCUUGAACAGUUCAGGUAAGUAUUUGAAUUGGGCUUUAGAGAUUGUUGUUAUCAUCAUUCAUGCAGUUUUGGAAAGGAAGAAGAAAAAAAGGCAUCAUCAAUCAACUCGUAUAUGUUCGAGUUGAACCUAAUUGCUCUUUCGAUUUAUUGCUCCCAGAAAACAAAAGCAAUCAAUAAUAUUCAAUUAUCUCUUGGAUAUGCUUGAACCCACCUGUAGAACGUAUAUGAUUAUGCAUGCAAGCAUGUUAGCUGAACCGAAUAAAUGAUUAAAGACAAGCACUUUGGGUCCUCGGUCAGUCCUCAAUGUUCGAAAAACACCAGAGCGUAGGGCUCAGGAGAAUGAGAAGAUCAUGCCAAGAAGCAAAAUUGACCAGAAAAAAAAAGAAAA